AGCCAUUGGUUGAUAUCUUUGGUCUAACCUGCCCGGUGCAUAAUGUUUAACGGCCGCAGUACUUUGACUGUGCUAAGGUAGCAUAAUCAAUUGACUUUUAAAUGGAGUCGGGAAUGAAUGGUUGAACUGGGUUUAGCUGUCUUAAAAAUAAUUAUUUGAAUUUGCUUUUUAAGUGAAAAAGCUUAAAUGAGAAAAAAAGACGAGAAGACCCUUAGAAUUUUUAUUAAUUAAACUUUGGUUUUUAUUGGGGCGAUAAAGAAACAGAUUUAAACUUUCUUAAUAUACUAGCCGAUAAUGUUAAGUAUGGAUAAAUUACCUGAGGGAUAACAGCAUAAUUUUAAAGUUAAGUUUGUGACCUCGAUGUUGGACUAGGAAACUAGCAGGCUAGCCGUUUGUUAUGUGGGUUCUGUUCGAACUUUUA
Molecule: ribosomal RNA, 421 nt
Filed under: Phyllodesmium cf. magnum MJR-2010
Lineage: Eukaryota; Metazoa; Mollusca; Gastropoda; Nudibranchia; Glaucidae
Description: partial 16S ribosomal RNA
Rfam family: Bacterial large subunit ribosomal RNA
Source: RNAcentral